AGCAUUGUCUAUGGUAUCAAUCAAAGAGUACUCUUUGUAUGGUAUUAUUUUAAUUAUUAACUGAUUUGCUUUCUCUAAUUAUAAUUUAGUGUUUCAUUCAUGUGCUGACUUAUGGAUAAAUAAUUGAUUGAGCAUCAAAACAGUUUUUAUUUUCUGGUUCCCUUUGAUUUCUGUGUUCACGUCUCUUCUCUGGUAGAGCAUCUUAUAAACUAUUCAAUGGCUUUCUAAACAUGAACGAAGAAAAUGGCUUGAAAAGCUGAUUUAAAGAUUAAUAGGAGGAAAAAUAAAAGGCAAAAUAAUGUUAAACACUUGAAUGGACCAAGAAAGGUGUUAAUAUCGGUUAAAGUCAUAUCAACUACUGUUGAGGAGGAAUAAUGAUGUUUAGAGAUGAAUCUGAUAAUCUGGAUAUCUAUUUCAAGUUAAUCUUACCUAAAAUCGUUUAGGAUCAUACUUUGCUAACAAGUUUAAAUGGAAACUCAAAAAAUACGAUGAAAAUGAUGGCGAUGCGAUGAUCGGUCAAUGGUGGUAAUAUUUCAUUGCUAUAAACUGAAAAUGUUGAAAGUAAAAUGGAAAGCCAUGGCAGGAAAAAAGAUCUUCUUUUUGACUGAAUACAAAUCUGACCACGAAAUAUGAAUAUGACUUGAUCCAUUAUUGUUAUUAUUAUCAUUACCAUUAUUAUUCUGGAUGUAACUGAAUAUUCUUAUCACGAAUACAUGGGAGACGAAUAAGGAAACGAAUACGAAUGGAGGAGGAGGAAGAAGAAGACGAAGAUAAAGAAAAUGAAUUAUUUUUAUUUUAUGUCUUUUCUUGUCCAAUAUGCAUAUUAAGGUUUAAUGACAUAAUAUUUGUUGCUAUCUAUUGGACUAUUUGUGUAGAGUCAGAGGAGAAGAAAAAAUUACAAUCAAAGUCAAAUCCAAACCUAAAAUAGCUUAUAAAUUGUUACCUGUUGGCGUUUAACCAUAAAUAAUGCUGGAUUGACCAUUUCCUACGCUCUGAUUGUAAUCGAUUUAUUUGUUAAAUUGGGAGAGGAAAAAAUGAAGGAAAUAAUCAAUUUCCGAUGAAUGAACAAUUACUGCAUAUAAAUGGUUAAAAAAAGGAAAGGUUAAUGAAUGGAUCAAAGCAACAAUCAAAUACAUUAUGUGAUUCCAAAUCAUUUUUAAAUCUUGUAAAAGCUAAAAUAGAUUGCCCUUUCCGCAACUAUUUCAAUUACUUUGAUUUAUCAAUUUUUAACCAAAAAGCUUGAUAAAUUUUUGAUUGAAUUUUCAAUGAAAAACAUGUUUGCUAUUAAUUCUGAACCUUUACCAUGAAUAUUUAAGAUGAACCAUUCCGAUAAACUAUUAAUGUUUGGUAAUAAUACAAUUCCAAUGAAAGUUGAAAAUAAAUUAAACAUUUGCAUUUUAA
Molecule: long non-coding RNA, 1401 nt
Organism: Tetranychus urticae (two-spotted spider mite)
Lineage: Eukaryota; Metazoa; Arthropoda; Arachnida; Trombidiformes; Tetranychidae
Source: RefSeq, a predicted model, not a curated record